Molecule: unclassified non-coding RNA, 337 nt
Filed under: soil metagenome
Description: partial contains 5.8S ribosomal RNA, internal transcribed spacer 2, and large subunit ribosomal RNA
Rfam family: 5.8S ribosomal RNA (bases 1-120)
Source: RNAcentral
GAUGAAGAACGUAGCGAAAUGCGAUAAGUAAUGUGAAUUGCAGAAUUCAGUGAAUCAUCGAAUCUUUGAACGCACAUUGCGCCCGCCAGUAUUCUGGCGGGCAUGCCUGUUCGAGCGUCAUUUCAACCAUCAAGCCCCCGGGCUUGUGUUGGGGACCUGCGGCUGCCGCAGGCCCUGAAAAGCAGUGGCGGGCUCGCUGUCACACCGAGCGUAGUAGAUUUUAUCUCGCUCUGGGCGUGCUGUGGGUUCCGGCCGUUAAACCACCCUUUUAACCCAAGGUUGACCUCGGAUCAGGUAGGAAGACCCGCUGAACUUAAGCAUAUCAAUAAGCGGAGGA